Apis florea (little honeybee) is the source of this 231-nucleotide long non-coding RNA. The record is from RefSeq and is a predicted model, not a curated record. Lineage: Eukaryota; Metazoa; Arthropoda; Insecta; Hymenoptera; Apidae.
GCAAAGUAGGGGAGACAGAGGAAAUGCGAUUACGCAUGCGUGUAUACGUUCCAUACGAAAGAAUCAUAAUUUAUAUCGAACCGGUCGUAGGUGGCGCGUCUCAUUAAGGAGGAGGGAAUGAUCGUGGACGAAUGAACCGGCCGUCAUGUGGGUGGCUGCGAUUGCACAGGCCGACCAUGUCCGGGACGAAAGUGAAAUGUUCCACUUGUCGUUCCACGAUUAUAAAUUUUU